UGCAGUAGUAUUCCAUUUUAUUUUGUAUUUUUAUUUUUAUCCGCUUCUCUUCCACAAAACUCUCUUACAGCCCCCGCCCCUCCCUUCCACUUCCUUUCUCUAACAAGCUUAUUAGGGUUAGGGUUUUAAAGCCCCCCAAACAAGCUUUCCUUAAUUUUAUAUAUUUUGGGUUUCUCAAUUCGACAUUUUCUUUGGUCGCCGGCAGGUUAUUUUUUCUUCUUGGGAGCGAAUGAUCUUUCAAUGCCUGGGCCACGAAAGAUCAAAUCUUGUGUUGCAAAACCUAGGAAGUUGAAAAGCGCUUGCUUUUUCUAUAAAGAAGUGGGUGAUUUAGGUGUUUUUUCAUCCACAAAGACCUCCAAUUCGUCUUCCUUUUUAUCUUUUACUCCAAUUCGUCUUCCUUUUUAUCUUUUACUCUCCGCAUGCCCUUAAUUUGAUUCCCACCUCUCUGAUAUUUUGGGUCCUCAUGGCGCCAAGUCGAAGAAAAGGUGCCAAUAAGGCCGCAGCCGCCGCCGCGGCCCGCCGACAAUGGAAGGUUGGUGAUCUUGUUCUUGCCAAAGUUAAAGGUUUUCCGGCCUGGCCUGCUACGGUAAGUGAGCCGGAGAAGUGGGGUUAUGCUACGGACUGGAAGAAAGUACUUGUCUACUUUUUUGGAACUCAACAGAUAGCCUUCUGUAAUCCUGCUGAUGUUGAAGCGUUUACUGAAGAGAAAAAGGAAUCUCUUCUAGGCAGACGUCAUGGAAAAGGUUCUGAUUUUGUUCGUGCUGUGCAUGAGAUAAUUGAAAGCUAUGAGAAGCUGAAAAGGCAAGAUCAAGUCAAUAAUGCAAACACCACAGUUGAUGGUACGCUGGCCAGUGAAAAUAACUCUGGGGAACUAUCAAUCAAAUCUUAUGCAAAUGGUGAAGCUGCUGGUACAACAUUUCAUUUAUGUCAGAAAAAGACACAUUCUACUGCAGAAGAAGGUGAUGUGGGUGUGAAAUCCAAGAGUGGUACUGCUGUAAAUGGACAAGAAGAUUUGCCAGACAGAGGAAUGCCUGAAAAGGAGGUUGUUACAGAAAUGGCCUGGGCAAAUACUGACUCCUACAGAAAAAUUGUUGAGAGCAAUAGGUCACAAAAAUGUUUCACACGUAGAAGGCCUCCCUCUGCUCGACGGGCUAGAAGCAGGGCAGAUUCUAGUAAGGUUAAAAAUUUCAUAACCCACUCUGGGGUCACAGAUAGUGUAUUUCGGGAUGGAUCUGGGAGGAGAAAUAAAAGGAUUAGAAAAUCACCUGAUGUUUUAACUGGCCAUGAUAUGGAUUUGCAUGAUUUGAUUUCAAAUUGUAGCAUUGAAGGGAAUGACUCAGAAAUCUUGACAGCGGACUCUGAUUCACUGAGCUUGAAUGAAGGCAGCACUGUUGAGUCUGAAUGUAAGGAUACACAUCCCGACUCUGUUAUUGAACUUGCUCAAAGAAAUGUUGAGAACCAAAGGCUUGACUUCCAAAGAAAUGGCAUCCAUAAAAAGAGAAGGAUGCCUAAUAGAAAAAGGCCUAAUUCUGAGGUUGUCGAAUUCAAUGCUAGACCAGAUGAAAAGGUAGAUUCAGUUGCUGAUCUUGUUAAGGGUGAACGUAUCUUGCCUGGUGAUCAAGAGAGAUCAACUGAAAGAUUCCCCAAGGAAGAUGGUGAUGAGCACCUGCCUUUGGUCAAAAGAGCUAGGGUUCGUAUGGGUAGGGCAUCAUCUACUGGAUGUGAACCUGAAACUUCAUUGGAUACUGAAGAGAAGCGGCCAGACGUUUGUAAUAGCCUUUCAGAUCAUAUCCAUGUGUCAUCCGAUCGGGAAGGAGAUGGUUCUACAGAUCAGAACCCUUCUACUGUGAAAGGAGAUGUAGAAAAUUCACCACCAUUAAAUAAUUCUCAUGCCAUGAAGUGUGACUUAUGGGAAGUAAGAAAGAAUCAACACUUUGGUAGUUCUUUAGAUGGUGAAGCUGCUUUACCUCCCUCAAAACGCUUGCAUCGUGCAUUGGAGGCCAUGUCAGCGAAUGCAGCUGAAGACAAUCAAAUAGCUUCAGAUGGACCAUCAACAACAAAUGCUGACACUAAUGGAUUUUCUUCGUCGUCAGAUGACCACGCAAAGUUCUCUCUGGAAAGACAGUCAGUCAGUCAAUUUGGAGUCAGUUUAGCAGAGGAAAAUCUUAGUAAUAAUGAUUCUCGGGAUGGUGUCUCUGAGUUUUCUGUGCAGUCUGACUUGCCAAUAGAACAAGUUAGGAUAUGUUCGGGAGUGGUGGCAAUUCGCUCCAGCGAUGAUAGCUCAAAGAGUAAGUCAUGCAAAGAUGAUGUGGAUUAUUCUGAUGGUAAAAAUCUUUUAGAAUCUUCUUCUGGUGACCUCAUUGAUGCUGCUUUAAUUUUAGAAUGCCCCAAAUCUUUGUCAACUAAAGAGGCUCAUGUGAGUACUAAUGGUUCACUGGAUGCGGUCUUGCCAUUAAAAGGUGGUUGCACAAAUGGAAAAACUGAUUUGGGCAAGUCUCCGGAAACUCUUGAUGAUAAAACAUCCCUGUUAAGUUCUAAUCUUCUAGCAGCGGAAGAUGCCACCAUUCAGUUACCACAUAGUGCUACCAAUAUGCAAACGGAUAAUGCAGAUGCCAAAUUUGAUGAAACUAUGAAGUCGUGUCAAUUCAUAUUAGAGGACAAGAAACAAGUUAAUGAAUUGUUGAAGGAUGUUGGAGCAACUGGGCCCACCAUAAGGGAUUGUGAUUCUAUGUUAUCUCCAGCUCACAUGGAUGUUAUGACUAAUGGCAAAGAGGAUCAAGAUCACUCUCACUCUAAUUCUAUCUCUGAUGAUCAUUCAGGGGACAAAACAGUUUCAGUUACCCAGUCGUCAUCAUCUCUGACUGAUGGUUUGGACUUCAUUUUACGUGCAACACCGCAUAAUUCAACCAGCAAUGCACCUGUAUCAGUUAAUAAUUCUAUCCAAGUUAAUGGUUCUUGUAGCCCUGCUGUUCAUUCCCAUCAUGAGACUCAAAAAUUUGCUGAGAGAUGGAACUACAAAGAAGCUAAUGUUGCUCUGACAUCUUUUGAGUCUAUUCUUGGAUUACUAACAAGGACAAAGGAAAGCAUUGGUCGAGCAACGCGUAGUGCCAUUGAGUGUGCAAAAUUUGGUGUUGCUGCUAAGGUGGUAGAAAUUCUUGCACGGAGUUUGGAACGAGAAUCAAGUUUACACCGAAGAGUGGACUUAUUCUUUCUAGUUGACUCUAUUGCGCAGUGCUCAAGGGGCUUGAAAGGUGAUGUUGGUGGCAUAUAUCCUUCAGCGAUUCUAGCAGUAUUGCCACGUUUAUUGUCAGCUGCUGCUCCUCCUGGAAGUAGUUCUCAGGAAAAUCGUAGGCAGUGCUUGAAAGUUUUGAGGGUCUGGCAGGAAAGAAGGAUCCUCCCAGAAUCCAUUGUUCGCCACCAUAUCCGGGAACUCGAUUCUCUCUGUGGUUCAUCUUGUUCUAGAGCGUUCUCACGUCGUCCUUUACGAAAUGAAAGGGCAUUUGAUGAUCCAAUUAGAGAAAUGGAGGGCAUGAAUGUUGAUGAAUAUGGAAGCAAUUCAAGUAUUCAACUUCCUGGAUUCUGCAUGCCUCCUAUGUUGAGGGAUGAAGAUGAUGGAAGUGAUUCUGAUGGAGAGAGUUUCGAGGCAGUCACUCCUGAACGUGACACUGAAAAAUCUGAAGGAAAUUUGAAGCCUGUCCCUGUAGUUGAGAAGCAUCGUCAUAUCUUGGAAGAUGUUGAUGGUGAGCUUGAAAUGGAGGAUGUGGCUCCCUCUUCUGAUGCUGUUGUUUCCACUAGUCAUAGUGCGGGAACUGAUAUUCUGCAUGCAUCACAUCAUUCAAUUGGAAAUCCAGCUUCUGUGGUCUUUGCUCCUCCAUUACCCAAGGAUGUUCCACCAAUGUCUCCUCCUCUGCCAGUAUCUCCUCCACCCCCACCUCCACCCCUACUCCCAGUUCCUCGAGCGUCUCUUCCUCUUCCAUCUGAAAGGCCUGAUUGCAUUGCAAGUAGUCUUAAUUCUAAGCUCUUUACUUGUUCACAGAACAUAGAAGAUGACUUGCAAAAAUCUACUGCAGAUCAGUCUAUUGCACCAGGAGUCAACCUUUUGACUUCUGAGACAGCUCAAUGUUCUUCACAUGGCCAUAUUGAUUUUCAUUCUCAGGUGCCAAAACAAAUACCAAACUCAACUAAUUGUUCAUUCAGUAGCCCACCUGUCUCCCAUCCACCAGUUCGAACAGUAAAUAAUCCACCAGCUGAUGGUGCAUUCAACAAGGGUUUCCAUUUACGUCCGCCUCAUCCUGCUCCAUCUAAUCAGUUUUCCUACAUGCAAGUCGAUCAUCGAGCACAGUCAAGGAGGGAUAUCCCACCAGCGUCCCACCCCACCAGAUUCCAUUUACAGAACACUGAUAAUGGAAACUUUUACAGAGAUUGUGAUAGGAUGAAAUUGGCACCACAUGAUAUUGGAGAGCGGUGGAGGGCUCCCCCACCUUUUCCUGGGCCACGGUAUCUUGAGGGAUCAAGAAUGCCUUAUGCACCCGCUCCAUUUUCCAGCCAACUUGGUGAAGCAGCACCACCAAGCAAUCAUUGGGCUUUUCCUCCCCGAGCCAUGAAUCAUAUGCCUCAUAGGCCCCCUUCUGGGGGUCCAAUACCUGUGGCAGCUAGAGGUAUUUUUCCUGCACUUUUUCCUAGGAAUAUCACACCAUAUUCCCUUUACAACUACUGCCUAAUGUCCUUUUUUACUCAAUUGGAAGCCAACAUUUAUUUGAGUUUGCUUGAGGGAGGGUAUAGGGAGAUUGGCACAAGUUUCUGGUAGUGAAAAGAUUCUGAUGGCUGAUGAGAAGUGAAAAUGGAGAUAAAAACGUAUGCAAAGGUUUAAGGAGAAAAGUAGUAACAGGUUGUCCAUCAAAUUUACUUGAAAGGCAGUAGACACAUGGUAACAUGAGAUUAAUAGGGGUUACCAUGUAGCUUGUGCCAUAUAAUCCUGUGGAAGGUGGCUUUCUAUCCUUUUAUUAUUUAUUAUAUAGACUCUAUAUAAGGCCAAUUUAUGCGAGUUGGUGUAGGUAGGGCUGAUUAAGCAAGAAGUUUGUUCAAAAGACAAGGAAACUUUGAAGGUUGCAUGCUGGGGAAUGGUUUGCAUUACUUGUAUGCAGCUUUUAUGAAACUCUACAGGUGGGAACCGGUUUGUAUUGUGCUUUUGGCCUAAUUUUGGUUUUCUCUGUAUUACAGGUCCCAACUGCUGGAGACCGAGAUGAGUAAUCAUCAAUGGCUUCAAGUGAAUGGUGCAACCGGUUUCUUUUUGCGGCUUGUUCAAAAUAUGGAGAAUUUUUGGCUGAUCUGUACCUUGUAUAAGAUAUGUACCAUUGAUGAGGAGGAUGUCCACGAAGGGAAAUAACAGCAUAGCCAUUACGUGACUGUAUAUAUGUAUUUAUGAAUCCCCUCGAGUAAAAUUGGAAAGGGAGCUGUAUCCCUGAGGCUGCGAGUUUGGUACCUUAAUAUAUAGUUUUUUGAAACUCUGGAAACUUUUAGUAGUCCUAUUUAUUUCAGUAGCGUGGCAUAGGACUUGUCAUCAACUUUUUGGCAAAAAUUAUAGGACGACCCUUUCUUCUUUUCCUGGUGGCUCUGCUUAGUCUCUGUAAAAAUCUAAAUGUUGCUUGUACAUUCCAGAUAGUAUAAUUUCGUCCCAGCUAAUCAGAAUGAUUGAAGCUGGAGAUUCCUCGAUGUCAUAAACAUUUUGUUCCUUGUGCAGUGUAAUAUUCUUGCAAUAGGAAAUGGUACCAACUGCCGGAUUUUCUA
Molecule: non-coding RNA, 5787 nt
Organism: Coffea arabica (coffee)
Lineage: Eukaryota; Viridiplantae; Streptophyta; Magnoliopsida; Gentianales; Rubiaceae
Source: RefSeq, a predicted model, not a curated record